RNAcentral lists this ribosomal RNA (301 nucleotides) under uncultured bacterium. Its description in RNAcentral is "partial 16S ribosomal RNA". It matches the Rfam family "Bacterial small subunit ribosomal RNA", at positions 509 to 807 of the family's 1533-position model. The record is from RNAcentral.
CAGCAGCCGCGGGAAUACGGAGGGUGCAGGCGUUAAUCGGAACUACUGGGCGUAAAGCGUGCGUAGGCGGUUCGUUAAGUCUGUCGUGAAAGCCCCGGGCUCAACCUGGGAAUGGCAAUGGAUACUGGCGAGCUAGAGUGUGUCAGAGGAUGGUGGAAUUCCCGGUGUAGCGGUGAAAUGCGUAGAGAUCGGGAGGAACAUCAGUGGCGAAGGCGGCCAUCUGGGACAACACUGACGCUGAGGCACGAAAGCGUGGGGAGCAAACAGGAUUAGAUACCCCGGUAGUCCCUGUCUCUUAUAC